GGGGAGGUGGCUCAGUGGUUAAGAGCACUGACUGCUCUUCCAGAGGUCUUGAGUUCAAAUCCCAGCAACCACA
RNAcentral lists this transfer RNA (73 nucleotides) under Rattus norvegicus (Norway rat). It matches the Rfam family "tRNA". Rfam says of the family: Transfer RNA (tRNA) molecules are approximately 80 nucleotides in length. The record is from Rfam by way of RNAcentral. Lineage: Eukaryota; Metazoa; Chordata; Mammalia; Rodentia; Muridae.